AAUUGGAAGGUUGUGCCCUUGAGGCGUGGCUUCCGGAGCUAACGCGUUAAGUCGACCGCCUGGGGAGUACGGCCGCAAGGUUAAAACUCAAAUGAAUUGACGGGGGCCCGCACAAGCGGUGGAGCAUGUGGUUUAAUUCGAUGCAACGCGAAGAACCUUACCUACUCUUGACAUCCACGGAAUUCGCUAGAGAUAGCUUAGUGCCUUCGGGAACCGUGAGACAGGUGCUGCAUGGCUGUCGUCAGCUCGUGUUGUGAAAUGUUGGGUUAAGUCCCGCAACGAGCGCAACCCUUAUCCUUUGUUGCCAGCACGUAAUGGUGGGAACUCAAAGGAGACUGCCGGUGAUAAACCGGAGGAAGGUGGGGAUGACGUCAAGUCAUCAUGGCCCUUACGAGUAGGGCUACACACGUGCUACAAUGGCAUAUACAAAGAGAAGCAAACUCGCGAGAGCAAGCGGACCUCAUAAAGUAUGUCGUAGUCCGGAUUGGAGUCUGCAACUCGACUCCAUGAAGUCGGAAUCGCUAGUAAUCGUAGAUCAGAAUGCUACGGUGAAUACGUUCCCGGGCCUUGUACACACCGCCCGUCACACCAUGGGAGUGGGUUGCAAAAGAAGUAGGUAGCUUAACCUUCGGGAGGGCGCUUACCACUUUGUGAUUCAUGACUGGGGUGAAGUCGUACAGGGUAACCGUCGGGUGUG
This 697-nucleotide ribosomal RNA is filed under the name Hafnia sp. RNAcentral's name for it is "bacterial SSU rRNA". It matches the Rfam family "Bacterial small subunit ribosomal RNA", at positions 814 to 1511 of the family's 1533-position model. The record is from RNAcentral. Lineage: Bacteria; Pseudomonadati; Pseudomonadota; Gammaproteobacteria; Enterobacterales; Hafniaceae.